GGAGUGAUGGAGCCGCACGGAAUACAUCGUAGGAGGUGGAGCAGUAUCAUGGUCGUUGCUGCGGCCCACCAGUCGGCCCAGGCCUGUCGGUCGAAAUUCAGCUGGAGUGUCUGGCGGAGAGAUGUGGCUGGCCACCCGUCUGAGAGGAGCUCAGAGUCCGGCUCCUGUAGGAGUCGGGACAGAGUCUACCUGUGGUCGAGGUCAAGGAUGAAGCCCGGCUCCAGUGG
RNAcentral lists this long non-coding RNA (227 nucleotides) under Elaeis guineensis (African oil palm). Its description in RNAcentral is "long non-coding RNA (EGUI_LNC061854)". Lineage: Eukaryota; Viridiplantae; Streptophyta; Magnoliopsida; Arecales; Arecaceae. The record is from RNAcentral.